CUGGUGCCAGCAGCCGCGGUAAUUCCAGCUCCAAUAGCGUAUAUUUAAGUUGUUGCAGUUAAAAAGCUCGUAGUUGGAUUUCGGGUGGGUUGUAGCGGUCAGCCUUUGGUGAGUACUGCUACGGCCCACCUUUCUGCCGGGGACGUGCUCCUGGGCUUAACUGUCCGGGACACGGAAUCGGCGAGGUUACUUUGAGUAAAUUAGAGUGUUCAAAGCAAGCCUACGCUCUGAAUACAUUAGCAUGGAAUAACACGAUAGGACUCUGGCUUAUCUUGUUGGUCUGUAAGACCGGAGUAAUGAUUAAGAGGGACAGUCGGGGGCAUUCGUAUUUCAUUGUCAGAGGUGAAAUUCUUGGAUUUAUGAAAGACGAACUUCUGCGAAAGCAUUUGCCAAGGAUGUUUUCAUUAAUCAAGAACGAAAGUUGGGGGCUCGAGGACGAUUAGAUACCGUCGUAGUCUCAACCAUAAACGAUGCCGACUAGGGAUUGGCAGGUGUUUCGUUGAUGACCCUGCCAGCACCUUAUGAGAA
This 528-nucleotide ribosomal RNA is filed under the name uncultured Dunaliella sp. RNAcentral's name for it is "SSU rRNA". It matches the Rfam family "Eukaryotic small subunit ribosomal RNA", at positions 561 to 1096 of the family's 1831-position model. Lineage: Eukaryota; Viridiplantae; Chlorophyta; Chlorophyceae; Chlamydomonadales; Dunaliellaceae. The record is from RNAcentral.